GAAGUGCAGACUCGGAAGGGCAGGUGCUACGGGUCGGCAGAGACAGGGGCGGGCGGAGCGGCGAAGGGGCGAUGGGGCGGACAGAGCGGCGGCGGGCCUGCGGGUGCUCGGAGAAGGAGAGAGGACGAAGAGGCAGGUAGGUAGGCCAGGAGUCUCGGUCGGCGCGGGUGGCGCGCAGGCGCGGGGGGGAUGCCCGACGACGGAACGGGGCCGCCGGGCCGCGAGCCUCGUUCGGCGGUGGGCGGCGGGUCUGGUGUAGAGUCCAGAGGUCGUGAGGGCCACUGGCAGUCUAAACUCCAACGUCAUAACCCACUGUCGAAGGACAUAGUAGGCCAACGAAGGGGCGCACUGUCGAUGUGAGGUAAGACGAGGCGAUAGCCAGUCGAGGUAACUCUUAGAUCUACACGAACAGCAGCGCUUACAAGCUACCCUUCUGUGCGAGGAAGAGGUAAUGGUCUUUCCGAAAGGGACUUUCAUUUAUACAGGAGGGACAGGGUUAGAGGGCGGAUCGGGUGGCAGUAGAGGGGGAAGAGGAUAGGAUACGUUGGCAGAGUCCAGAAAACGAGUUCCAUGGGAACGAGGUGAGACAGGAAGCGAGUGAGAGGAGUCCAGGACAGGGUAGAGAGAGGGAGAGUAAGGAGAGGGAUGAGGCGGCCAGACCGAUGUACGGGUAGCUAUUGAUGAGGGAAUCGCGACGAGAAAGAUGGCGGCGGGCGUACGGGAGGCAACAACAACCACGGGUCGAGGUAUGGGAAAGACACUUUGAGCCGAAUUCAAGACUAUUGAAACAGGAAUUAUGAGAAUAGUUAUACAUGAGCAGAACAUCAAUAGGUAGAUGACGUUCUAGUCAAGAACUAAGACGAGGGUUUCCUCGGAGACUAUGUCAAAGAACCUUAUGUUAGUAACGACCUAUGUAUGUACGACCCGACGGAUUAUUCCGUAACGUCCGGAAAUCGGUUUACCGGUUCCGCGUUCAAUACGACCUACUUCAGUGGAACGACUUACGAGAUCAACGAACACGUUCCUGUACGUACUACUUCCAGCCUUUCGAGACAGUACGUAAUGAACACUGUUUACCAAAACUCUAAUUGACAAUAUACCCAAGGAGAAACUAAUCAUACAUACGUUUCACACCCGACCAACUUCUACGAGCGUCCCAAAAACUACCUAACGGACUCUCCUUACGCCAAACGACCUGGAGUUACUAAAGACCUAUAUGUGUCAAUCCAGUCAGAUUUCUCCGACAAUUCGAUAAGUCUCUGUACGUCUAACGACCUCACUUUCAACUACUACGUUGUUAACGAUGACAACAUAGAAGUACGCCGGUCUACCCUCGUGACCUGAACCCUGCCAUACAGGUACGAAUGACACUGUAAGUACCAAAUCCCUUCCUAUAAAGACACUUUUUAAGUAACUAACUGUACAUGAGUUUCACACCCCUAUAUUUUUUCCGGAUACUAUAUAAAACACCUUACCAGUUCGCCCUACUAAAACGGACCUGUCACUACUAUUACCCGAAACGACGCUUACCGGAGAGACCACUCCGUGAUCUAAACAAACGCGUCUACCUUCUUCUCCCACUUCAGUACGGCUUACUCUAUUGAAAGAACCCACAGGAUUGAAGAACGUCGGUACCUCCUAAUCAACUUGUUCCUAUGGUAGUGAAGGUAGCGUACAGGUCAUAAAUGCCAUAACGGGGUUUCUAACUUGUGAUGCCUACGUACCAACUAGAGGACCCCGCACGAUUCAAUAACCGUCUCCGUCUUGUCAAGUAAUUUCUCUACGGAUAGCGAGGACUACAACAUUACACCGCCAGCAACAACAAACGGACGUCUCGGACACCUCUCCACCCUGAACGUCUCAUACAUCGUCUUUCCUAGGUUCAUAACCUCGGUUUGUCCACACCUCCCCUGCAAAAUGAAAGAUGACAGAUACGAUGGUGUAGUUCCACCCAACUACGUUUGUUUCACUCCUGUCCUUAUAUGUCAUCGUCUUUCUGGUUCGUCGGACCAACGAGAAAGUAACUUCACCUACCUACGCACGUACUCAAGAAACGUCCCCUGCUCAGUGUAAAACUUUGACUUCGAUAUAUGUUGUGAGAAAAUCCCUAAUUACUUGACAAUCAUCGUCUCAGGAAGGACUACACUUUCGAUUAUGUAAAGAUACGUCCCAUAGUACACGGGCGAGUGGACAUAGUGACACAACCAGUACCCUUACAUUUUGGUCGUCGGACUUUCAAGGUUUGAGGUCAUAAAUCAAUAAAUGAACUUGACCCGGUACCUAGCCUUCUUAGUUUGAGGUGUCCCAGUUUAACGUGUUCACUAACAACUUAAAGAUCUCCAUCGACAGUCGACGUAACAGAAGGAGUUUCCAAAGAUAGGGUGAGCACGUAAACUCUCCUCUUCCAUGUACUUACAUCAACAGGUCUUUCGACACGUGGGCGUCGAACGACUGAUAUAGGUGAGACACUGAUGACCGGAAGAUGGAAAGUAUGUUUUCCCUGACCAACUCUCCCAACACCAGUAGAAGGUACUGUUUCUAGUGUAUGGUGACCUCUUCAAACACAAGUUCGAACGUCAGUUGGUCAGGAUACCGAGGCUCAAUCUUCUUAGGUCGGACCUUAAACGAGACGCCCGCAAGAACUAGUUUGACUGGCAGCGACCUGGAGAGUGUUUCGGGGAAGGCAGUCUAUCGUCGACCCUCUAGUGGCGGAUGAAGGCUAGGGAGGGGCGCCUUCUUCCACGCUUCCUGUUCCUCCUCCUGCUCCGAGCCGACACCUAGGGGUGCCUGUGGUUCCGCACCUACGUCGGCGGCGUCUAUUGGGGGUAGUUCAGUUACCCCACACUAGGAAACUUCUACGUCGAGAUGGAUCUUGUUGGACCUGGUAGUCGUCUGCGUCUCCUAGGACGAAGCAUCGCUGCUUGGUAAUCGGAGGGAGGGACCAAGUACAUACGAGCGUUCAGCUCGUCUUGUAUUAGACUAUAAACACCCGUCAGACCGGGACAACGCUUGUUCCAGCGACAAAAAUAAUAAAACACCGACAACAGAUACCACUCAGACCUGUUC
Molecule: ribosomal RNA, 3066 nt
Filed under: Triticum aestivum (bread wheat)
Lineage: Eukaryota; Viridiplantae; Streptophyta; Magnoliopsida; Poales; Poaceae
Description: partial small subunit ribosomal RNA
Source: RNAcentral